Molecule: non-coding RNA, 2123 nt
Organism: Equus caballus (horse)
Lineage: Eukaryota; Metazoa; Chordata; Mammalia; Perissodactyla; Equidae
Source: RefSeq, a predicted model, not a curated record
ACUUACAACGGAUCGUGGAACAGUUUGAUAUGACCAGGAGUUUGAGCAGAAAGGGAAAAGCAGGAAAAAACCAUGAGUGCAUAUUGCAGCAGAGACGUGGAGAAGAGAAAAGAAGAGCCAAAGAAAAGAGCAAUACAAAAGAAACAAUAAAUCCCUAUCAUAAAGACAGAGGUGGGAGCAGUGAGAUAAUUGUGGCUCAAAUAAGAGAAUAGGCCAACUCUCCCAGUUGAAGUGUUUCCUGGGUAACUUCAUUGUCAGCCAGCCCUGUAUGGCCCAGGGGUGGGGUGGAGUGGGAAUGGAAAUGGGCAGAAACAGACACUAAAUUCUCCCACUUCCAUUUAAACCAAGAAGGGCUUUAUUAUCCUACACAGGAGAAUCAGACUUUGCACAUUCUUUGGUACUUUAUAUUAGACAGAGAAAUUUGAUUAAAGUCAGUUCUUCAAAGAACCAGCUGCACAACUUGUCUAUCACUAAUUAGCAAGUUAAAGAGCAAGAACUAUUAUUGCUUCUUUGUUUGUGAGCUAAUUCUCUAAAGCAACGUCUGUACUUAAGAAUCCUAAGGCCUCCAUAUGACCCAGCAAUUCCACCCCAAGUUAUAUAACCAAGACAAAUAAAAACAUACGUCUACACAGGAACUUGUACUGAUACUUGAUACAAUAUGGACGUAUCUUGGAAACAUUAUGCUAAGUGAAAGAAGCCAGUCACAAAGACUACAUAAGGCCAAAGGAAUUCAACAAUAAAACAAGGAGGCCUCGCCUACGAGAUGCUUACAGUACAUUCGCCAGGUCUCAGGAGAACAUGUCCCUCAAGGAAAUACACUCAAUCUCCGUCUCUGGGAAUGCUGGAGGGCAUGCUCUCGUAGCUUGAGAGGCCAAGAGAUGAGCUGAGGGACCAUCAGAGCUGCCAUCCUCACCACACUACCUACCACAGCAUUCCCUAAAGAGCCCAGUUUCCUACUUCCCAUGGUCCCUGUGCUUGUGAGAAGGAGAGUCAGAAAGUGCAAGGGCUCCUCCAUCAGCUGCUCCAGCAUCUCACCUCACCUGUCUGGUUCUGAGUCCCAAAGGCUACUAGUGAGACAGAGUUGGGUACUGAGGGACCCACAGGCAGGAAACAACCAGGAAAGUUAUCAAAAAAUCAUGGUCCACUCUGGAAACAAACUGUCAUGCUCAAGGACGGACAAGACUCAAACUGCAAGUGACUGGAGAAGCCAAGAUUCUGUUGCCUUCCAGAACCCAGACACCCAGCCCCAACUCAGUACUUCUCGAAUAUCGGAGUUUGAGAAAUUCUGCUUUCAGUUGGUCCAAGUGUUCUUCAUGGCCUCUGAGUGCCCCAGGAUCAAGGAGGACCAGAAAAAGUCCUGGCUCCCAAGAGGGUGUGGGAAUCAAGAUAAGAUUUAGGUGACUCCAUUAUGAGGUGACUGGUAGAGAAAGGAGCCACUCUAUCCUUCCCCUAGUUGCUCGUGAAAGAAAAAAGAAAAAACUCAGAGCUACACAUCCAUCCCUCAACAAAGGAAACAAACUCUCCUGCAAAAUACAGGGGACUGAUUUGGGCACUGGGGCCCUGUCCACCUCAGUGCUGCAAGAAACAAGAGGAGGGGAAAACCCUGAGCAUUAAACAACAAAUAUUUCGUGACGAGUACAUUCUCCUCAGCUACCAAGUCCAAAGCUACUUGAUAUAUUUCUGAGCUGCCAGAAUGUCUUGGUUCACCUCAUAAAAAGUCUCUGACUAUAUUCCUUGACGCCCAGAGAUUCAUUCCUUUGGGUGUGAUCCAUUGAAGUGAUGGAUCAUUUAGACUGAAGGACAAAGUCUCAUGUUUACCCUCAGGAAAUAGUCCAUCGUUAUUCCUUUCCUACCCUUGCACAAGCUGUUCCACUACCUGUACCAUCUUUCCUUCUCCUGCCCUUGCCCUUAGAAAAUUUAAAUUGUGUGCCCUCCUAGAGAUCUCGAAGGGGCUCCUUUUGGGGCCCAGGGCAGCCACCUCAAAACAUCCCACGGUGGCAUGUUGAUUAUUUUGAAUUAAAGUUACCUGUUUAUAUAAAAAUUGGACCCUCCUCUCUCAGUUCCCCUUAAAGGCAGAAAAUAAAUCUCCCAUGUGAAGGAUGCUCCCCACGUUCCUGGAGAUA